CACCACCACUACCACUAUUGCCACCAACAUUUUUUUUUAUUCUUAUAUAAUUGCAUUAUUGGUGUCACAAAUUUUUUAUUUUUUUCAGUACUAUAAACUCCAUUAAAAUCAAUAAUAAAAGUCUAACAAACUCAACUAAAAUAUAUGCAUGAAUUCAGUCAAAAUCUAUGUACAGUUUGUGAAAUUUAGUCAAACUCAAUUAAAUUCAAUUAAACUCCAUCAACUUUAUAACUCAUUUAAAA
This 242-nucleotide long non-coding RNA is filed under the name Prunus persica (peach). Its description in RNAcentral is "long non-coding RNA (PPER_LNC007193)". The record is from RNAcentral. Lineage: Eukaryota; Viridiplantae; Streptophyta; Magnoliopsida; Rosales; Rosaceae.